UCAAGCGACUAAGUGUAUGUGGUGGAUGCCUUGGCGAUCACAGGCGAUGAAGGACGUGACAGCCUGCGAAAAGCUGUGGGGAGCUGGCAAAUAAGCUUUGAUCCACAGAUGUCCGAAUGAGGGAACUCACCUGCUUUGCAGGUAUCCCAUCCUGAAUAUAUAGGGAUGGGAGGCGAACGAAGCGAACUGAAACAUCUAAGUAGCUUCAGGAAAAGAAAUCAACCGAGAUUCCGAAAGUAGCGGCGAGCGAAAUCGGAUCAGCCCAGCACUCGAUAGCAGCCAACUUACGGGAACGGUCUGGAAAGUCCGGCCAUAGAGGGUGAUAGCCCCUUACUGGAAAAGGCAGCUGCGGUACUAAGUGUGCGAUAAGUAGAGCGGGACACGUGACAUCCUGCUCGAAGAUGGGGGGACCAUCCUCCAAGGCUAAAUACUCGUGAUCGACCGAUAGCGUACCAGUACUGUGAAGGAAAGGUUAAAAGAACCCCGGGAGGGGAGUGAAAUAGAUCCUGAAACCGCAUACAUACAAACAGUAGGAGCCUCGUUAAGGGGUGACUGCGUACCUUUUGCAUAAUGGGUCAGCGACUUACGUUUAAUGGCGAGCUUAACCGUAUAGGGGAGGCGCAGCGAAAGCGAGUUCGAACAGAGCGUUCAGUCGUUAGGCGUAGACCCGAAACCAGAUGAUCUAUCCAUGGCCAGGUUGAAGGUGUGGUAACACACACUGGAGGACCGAACCGACUAGUGUUGCAAAAUUAGCGGAUGAGCUGUGGAUAGGGGUGAAAGGCUAAACAAAUCUGGAGAUAGCUGGUUCUCCCCGAAAACUAUUGAGGUAGUGCCUCGUGUAUGACUCCAGGGGGUAGAGCACUGUUAUGGCUAGGGGGACAUGGCGUCUUACCAAACCAUGGCAAACUCCGAAUACUUGGAAGUUUGAGCACGGGAGACAGAGCACCGGGUGCUAACGUCCGGACUCAAGAGGGAAACAACCCAGACCGCCGGCUAAGGUCCCUAAUAUUGACUAAGUGGAAAACGAAGUGGAAAGGCUAAGACAGUCAGGAAGUUGGCUUAGAAGCAGCCAUCCUUCAAAGAAAGCGUAAUAGCUCACUGAUCGAGUCUUUCUGCGCGGAAGAUGUAACGGGGCUAAGUCAAUAACCGAAGCCGCGGAUUCACACUUGUGUGUGAGUGGUAGGGGAGCGUUCUGUAAGCCUGCGAAGGUGACUCGUAAGGGUUGCUGGAGGUAUCAGAAGUGCGAAUGCUGACAUGAGUAACGUUAAAGCGGGUGAAAAGCCCGCUCGCCGUAAGCCCAAGGUUUCCUGCUCUACGUUCAUCGGAGCAGGGUGAGUCGGCCCCUAAGGUGAGGCUGAGAAGCGUAACUGAUGGGAACAAGGUUAAUAUUCCUUGACCACCGCUGAAUGCGAAGGGGGGACGGAGUAUUGAAGAUCAUCCGGGUGUUGGAUAUCCCGGUUUGCGAGCGUAGGAGGCUGACAGGCAAAUCCGUCAGCGAAUCUCCGAGGCAAAGCAUCGAGCUCUCUUUUGAGCGAAGUGAUUGGAUGUGCUUCCAGGAAAAGCCUCUAAGCUCCAGUUCAGCGGGACCGUACCGCAAACCGACACUGGUGGGCGAGCUGAAUAUGCUCAGGCGCUUGAGAGAACUCAGGAGAAGGAACUCGGCAAAUUGACACCGUAACUUCGGGAUAAGGUGUGCCUUUGUAGCGUGGAGGGAGAAACACCCCGAGCGCGAAGAGGUCUCAGAUAAUCGGUGGCUGCGACUGUUUAUUAAAAACACAGCACUCUGCAAAGACGAAAGUCGACGUAUAGGGUGUGAUGCCUGCCCGGUGCUGGAAGAUUAAUUGAUGGGGUGCAAGCUCCUGAUCGAAGUCCCAGUAAACGGCGGCCGUAACUAUAACGGUCCUAAGGUAGCGAAAUUCCUUGUCGGGUAAGUUCCGACCUGCACGAAUGGCAUAACGAUGGCCACACUGUCUCCUCCUGAGACUCAGUGAAGUUGAAGUGUUUGUGAUGAUGCAAUCUCCCCGCGGCUAGACGGAAAGACCCCAUGAACCUUUACUGUAGCUUUGCAUUGGACUUUGAACCGAUCUGUGUAGGAUAGGCGGGAGCCUGUGAAACCACAACGCCAGUUGUGGCGGAGGCGUCCUUGAAAUACCGCCCUGAUUUGUUUGAGGUUCUAACCUGGGACAGUCAUCCUGUCCGGGGACCGUGCAUGGUAGGCAGUUUGACUGGGGCGGUCGCCUCCUAAAGGGUAACGGAGGCGCGCGAAGGUCCGCUCGGGACGGUCGGCAACCGUCCUUUUGAAUGCAAGAGUACAAGCGGGCUUGACUGCGAGGCCCACAAGCCGAGCAGGUGCGAAAGCAGGCUCUAGUGAUCCGGCGGCCCCGAGUGGGUGGGCCGUCGCUCAACGGAUAAAAGGUACUCCGGGGAUAACAGGCUGAUCUUGCCCAAGAGUCCACAUCGACGGCAAGGUUUGGCACCUCGAUGUCGGCUCAUCGCAUCCUGGGGCUGGAGCAGGUCCCAAGGGUACGGCUGUUCGCCGUUUAAAGCGGUACGCGAGCUGGGUUCAGAACGUCGUGAGACAGUUCGGUCCCUAUCCUCCGUGGGCGCAGGAGAAUCGAUGGAGGCUGCCCCCAGUACGAGAGGACCGGGGUGGACGCACCUCCGGUGAACCGGUUGUCGACCAACGGCACGGCCGGGUAGCCGCGUGCGGCGCGGAUAACCGCUGAAGGCAUCUAAGCGGGAAGCCGUUCCAGGGAUUAGUUCUCCUUCCGGUAAGGGCCCAGGUAGACUACCUGGUCGAUAGACGGCAGGUGCAAGGCUGGCGACAGCCUCAGCCGAGCCGCACUAAUCGCCCGAGCUCUUCCGGA
This 2867-nucleotide ribosomal RNA is filed under the name human gut metagenome. RNAcentral's name for it is "bacterial LSU rRNA". It matches the Rfam family "Bacterial large subunit ribosomal RNA". The record is from RNAcentral.